RNAcentral lists this ribosomal RNA (512 nucleotides) under uncultured bacterium. Its description in RNAcentral is "bacterial SSU rRNA". It matches the Rfam family "Bacterial small subunit ribosomal RNA", at positions 1 to 518 of the family's 1533-position model. The record is from RNAcentral.
GUCGUCGAGUACGUCACGAGGAGUUGUUAGCACUGGCUCAGGACGAACGCUGGCGGCGUGCUUCAUACAUGCAAGUCGAACGAUAAGGCACCUUCGGGUGUACAUAAGUGGCGGACGGGUGAGUAAAAUGUAGAGAAUCUGCCCUAGAGCGGGGGACAACAGCUGGAAACGGUUGCUAAUACCCCAUAUGAGCGUAGUUGAGAUACUAUUCUUGAAAACUCCGGUGCUCUGGGAUGAGUCUGCAUCUGAUUAGCUAGUUGGGGGUGUAAUGGACCACCAAGGCGACGAUCAGUAGCUGGUUUGAGAGGAUGAUCAGCCACAAUGGGACUGAGACACGGCCCAUACUCCUACGGGAGGCAGCAGUAGGGAAUUUUGCGCAAUGGGGGAAACCCUGAACCGCAGCAACGCCGCGUGAUUGAAGAAGCCCUUCGGGGUGUAAAGAUCUGUCAGUGGGGACGAAACUUGACGGUACCCACAGAGGAAGCAUCGGCUAACUCCGUGCCAGCCGCCGC